This 500-nucleotide ribosomal RNA is filed under the name uncultured bacterium. Its description in RNAcentral is "partial 16S ribosomal RNA". It matches the Rfam family "Bacterial small subunit ribosomal RNA", at positions 30 to 523 of the family's 1533-position model. The record is from RNAcentral.
AUUGAACGCUGGCGGAAUGCUUUACACAUGCAAGUCGAACGGCAGCACGGACUUCGGUCUGGUGGCGAGUGGCGAACGGGUGAGUAAUACAUCGGAACGUGCCCAGUCGUGGGGGAUAACGUAGCGAAAGCUACGCUAAUACCGCAUACGAUCUAAGGAUGAAAGCGGGGGAUCGCAAGACCUCGCGCGAUUGGAUCGGCCGAUGGCAGAUCAGGUAGUUGGUGGGGUAAAGGCCUACCAAGCCGACGAUCUGUAGCUGGUCUGAGAGGACGACCAGCCACACUGGGACUGAGACACGGCCCAGACUCCUACGGGAGGCAGCAGUGGGGAAUUUUGGACAAUGGGCGCAAGCCUGAUCCAGCCAUUCCGCGUGCAGGAUGAAGGCCCUCGGGUUGUAAACUGCUUUUGUACGGAACGAAAAGGCUCUGGUUAAUACCCGGGGCUCAUGACGGUACCGUAAGAAUAAGCACCGGCUAACUACGUGCCAGCAGCCGCCGUAA